GUGAAUUAAACAUGCUUGGCGUCUUCGCUUCGGCAAGGCCCUUGCUUAAAUCACAUCCUAACACCUGUGAACUGUAAGACGUAUGAUGAGGUCUUUGGCCAAGUCAUCGUCUGCCCAUUUUUAACAAACAAUUAAUGUAACAAACGUAGUCUUAUUAUAACCUAAU
RNAcentral lists this unclassified non-coding RNA (166 nucleotides) under soil metagenome. RNAcentral describes it as "partial internal transcribed spacer 1". The record is from RNAcentral.